This 319-nucleotide ribosomal RNA is filed under the name uncultured Pseudomonadota bacterium. RNAcentral describes it as "bacterial SSU rRNA". It matches the Rfam family "Bacterial small subunit ribosomal RNA", at positions 29 to 351 of the family's 1533-position model. The record is from RNAcentral. Lineage: Bacteria; Pseudomonadati; Pseudomonadota.
AACGAACGUUAGCGGCGCGCUUAACACAUGCAAGUCGAACGAGAAAGCCCCUUCGGGGGUGAGUACAGUGGCGCACGGGUGAGUAACACGUGGGUUAUCUACCUCCUGGUGUGGGACAACACCUCGAAAGGGGUGCUAAUACCGCAUAAGUCCACUUCGGUGGGGAAAGGCGGCUUCGGCUGUCGCCAGAAGAUGAGCCCGCGGCCCAUCAGCUAGUUGGUAGGGUAAUGGCCUACCAAGGCUACGACGGGUAGCUGGUCUGAGAGGAUGAUCAGUCACACUGGAACUGAGACACGGUCCAGACUCCUACGGGAGGCAG